This 349-nucleotide ribosomal RNA is filed under the name uncultured bacterium. Its description in RNAcentral is "bacterial SSU rRNA". It matches the Rfam family "Bacterial small subunit ribosomal RNA", at positions 28 to 377 of the family's 1533-position model. The record is from RNAcentral.
GACGAACGCUGGCGGCGUGCUUAACACAUGCAAGUCGAGCGGUAAGGCCCUUUCGGGGGUACGACGAGCGGCGAACGGGUGAGUAACACGUGGGUGACCUGCCCUCAGCUCUGGGAUAAGCCUGGGAAACCGGGUCUAAUACCGGAUAUGACUCCAUGACGCAUGUUGUGGGGUGGAAAGCCUUGUGCGGCUGAGGAUGGGCCCGCGGCCUAUCAGCUUGUUGGUGGGGUGAUGGCCUACCAAGGCGACGACGGGUAGCCGGCCUGAGAGGGCGACCGGCCACACUGGGACUGAGACACGGCCCAGACUCCUACGGGAGGCAGCAGUGGGGAAUCUUGCGCAAUGGGCG